Molecule: ribosomal RNA, 301 nt
Filed under: uncultured bacterium
Lineage: Bacteria
Description: partial 16S ribosomal RNA
Rfam family: Bacterial small subunit ribosomal RNA
Source: RNAcentral
CAGCAGCCGCGGGAAUACGGAGGAUCCAAGCGUUAUCCGGAAUUAUUGGGUUUAAAGGGUCCGUAGGCGGUCUUGUAAGUCAGUGGUGAAAGCCCAUCGCUCAACGGUGGAACGGCCAUUGAUACUGCAGGACUUGAAUUAUUGGGAAGUAACUAGAAUAUGUAGUGUAGCGGUGAAAUGCUUAGAGAUUACAUGGAAUACCAAUUGCGAAGGCAGGUUACUACCAAUUGAUUGACGCUGAUGGACGAAAGCGUGGGUAGCGAACAGGAUUAGAUACCCCCGUAGUCCCUGUCUCUUAUAU